Molecule: transfer RNA, 75 nt
Filed under: Candidatus Omnitrophota bacterium
Lineage: Bacteria; Pseudomonadati; Candidatus Omnitrophota
Also listed under: 1 other name
Description: Candidatus Omnitrophica bacterium tRNA-Asp
Rfam family: tRNA
About the family: Transfer RNA (tRNA) molecules are approximately 80 nucleotides in length. Their secondary structure includes four short double-helical elements and three loops (D, anti-codon, and T loops). Further hydrogen bonds mediate the characteristic L-shaped molecular structure. tRNAs have two regions of fundamental functional importance: the anti-codon, which is responsible for specific mRNA codon recognition, and the 3' end, to which the tRNAs corresponding amino acid is attached (by aminoacyl-tRNA synthetases). tRNAs cope with the degeneracy of the genetic code in two manners: having more than one tRNA (with a specific anti-codon) for a particular amino acid; and 'wobble' base-pairing, i.e. permitting non-standard base-pairing at the 3rd anti-codon position.
Source: RNAcentral
GGGGACGUCGCCUAGCCCGGAUAAGGCCCCGGACUGUCGAUCCGGUGAUCGCGGGUUCAAAUCCCGUCGUCCCCG